RNAcentral lists this ribosomal RNA (329 nucleotides) under uncultured eukaryote. RNAcentral's name for it is "partial 18S ribosomal RNA". It matches the Rfam family "Eukaryotic small subunit ribosomal RNA", at positions 1470 to 1796 of the family's 1831-position model. The record is from RNAcentral.
CCCUUAGAUGUUCUGGGCUGCACGCGCGCUACACUGAUGCGUUCAACGAGUGUACAUCCUGGCCCGGUAGGGUUGGGUAAUCUUCUGAACACGCAUCGUGAUGGGGAUAGAUUAUUGCAAUUAUUAAUCUUCAACGAGGAAUUCCUAGUAAUGGUGAAUCAUCAGUUCAUCGUGAUUACGUCCCUGCCCUUUGUACACACCGCCCGUCGCUCCUACCGAUUGAAUGGUCCGGUGAAGCGUUCGGACCGUGGCCUUUGGACGGUUCGCCGUCUGUUGGCUGCGGGAAGUUCGUUAAACCUUAUCAUUUAGAGGAAGGAGAAGUCGUAACA